Molecule: ribosomal RNA, 497 nt
Filed under: uncultured bacterium
Lineage: Bacteria
Description: partial 16S ribosomal RNA
Rfam family: Bacterial small subunit ribosomal RNA
Source: RNAcentral
GAUGAACGCUGGCGGCGUGCCUAAUACAUGCAAGUCGAACGAAAAGACGAGGAGGUUGCUCCUCUGACGUUAGCGGCGCGCAGGUGUGUGAAAUGUGGAUAAACGUCCUAUAUGGCUGGGAAAAAUUAGGGAAAAGGGUGCUUAUUACGGAUAAUGUACUGAACCGGAUGGUUGGAUAGUGAAAGACGGCAUUGCUGUCGCUUCUCGAUGGUUUGGCGCCGCAUUAGCUGGUUGGUAAGGUAAAGGCUUACCAAGGCAACGAUCGGUAGCCGACCUGAGAGGAGGAUCGGCCACACUGGAACUGAGACACGGUCCAGACUCCUACGGGAGGCAACAGUAGGGAAUCUUCGGCAAUGGGCGAAAGCCUGACGCAGCAACGCCGCGUGUGUGAUGAAGGUCUUCGGGUCGUAAAGCACUGUUAUCAGGGAAGAACAGAUGUUGAAGUAACUAUGGGGUCCUUGACGGUACCGGAUCAAAAAGCAACGGCUAACUACGUG